AUUGAACGCUGGCGGCAUGCCUUACACAUGCAAGUCGAACGGUAACAGGUCUUCGGAUGCUGACGAGUGGCGAACGGGGGAGUAAUACAUCGGAACGUGCCCGAUCGUGGGGGAUAACGAGGCGAAAGCUUUGCUAAUACCUCAUACGAUCUACGGAUGAAAGCGGGGGAUCUUCGGACCUCGCGCGGACGGAGCGGCCGAUGGCAGAUUAGGUAGUUGGGGGGAUAAAAGCUUACCAAGCCGACGAUCUGUAGCUGGUCUGAGAGGAUGAUCAGCCACACUGGGACUGAGACACGGCCCAGACUCCUACGGGAGGCAGCAGUGGGGAAUUUUGGACAAUGGGCGAAAGCCUGAUCCAGCCAUGCCGCGUGAAGGAUGAAGGCCUUCGGGUUGUAAACUGCUUUUGUACGGAACGAAAAGCCUCUUUCUAAUAAAGAGGGGUCAUGACGGUACCGUAAGAAUAAGCACCGGCUAACUACGUG
RNAcentral lists this ribosomal RNA (482 nucleotides) under uncultured bacterium. RNAcentral describes it as "partial 16S ribosomal RNA". It matches the Rfam family "Bacterial small subunit ribosomal RNA", at positions 30 to 507 of the family's 1533-position model. The record is from RNAcentral.